Molecule: RNA transcript, 3596 nt
Organism: Thalassophryne amazonica
Lineage: Eukaryota; Metazoa; Chordata; Actinopteri; Batrachoidiformes; Batrachoididae
Gene: xpnpep3
Gene name: X-prolyl aminopeptidase 3, mitochondrial
Exons: 12
Source: RefSeq, a predicted model, not a curated record
UAAAAAAAAAAAAAAAAAAAACACAUUAUCACGUUUUGACAACAUUUUAAUAUUAAUAAUCAGUGAAAACAGACUUCCACGUAGUUCGUGCUUUGAUUUCUUGAUGUGUCCAGUUUUUGUUUAUCAGAUUUUCGUUAAAUGUACCUCGCAAAACUCCGCUAACAGAGCUAAUGCUAUGUUGAGGUUUGAGUGAUCGUCGAGUUGCCGCAACAAUGUUGCCUUCCAGCGGUUCUUUCAUAAAGUCGACUGUUAAACUUCUGCCACGAUGCAGCUGUAACCCAGGAUCUAUAUGGUACCUGUGCAGAAACAUAUCUGUGAAACCAGGAGUGUUGAAACCAAAGGCCAUACCUCCACGGUACCUGGGACAGCCCAGUCCAUUCACUCAUCCACACCUCAUCAAACAUGGUGAGGUGACUCCGGGGUUGAGCCAGACAGAAUAUGAGCUACGCAGACACAGACUGGCAUCACUUAUUGAGGCCCAGAUGGAGCAGCUUGGGUCAUCUGUCUCCUCUUGUACUCACGUUGUCAUUGUUUUGUCCCAUCCAAUCCGCUACAUGACCAAUGACAUCCCUUAUAUUUUCCACCAGAACCAGGAUUUCCUCUACCUCAGUGGCAUCCUAGAACCUGACAGUGCCUUGGUACUUUAUGGGAAGGGCCGACCAGAUCAGACCAUCUUGUUUGUGCCUCGCAGAGAUCCAGGGAGAGAGCUCUGGGAUGGACCCAGGUCCGGGAAGGAUGGUGCUGCUGCUCUGACUGGCAUCGAGAGAGUUCACAGCACAGAAGAACUGGGUGUUGUGCUCAAGAGCCUCAAAGGCACCGUCGUGUGGUACGAUGGUAUCCAGCCGACUCACCCUCAGCUCCACCAGACUCAUGUUCGUCCCUUGCUGGAGGCAGGACCGGUGCCUCGUACUGUCAAGCCCCUCAUACACUCUCUCAGGGCCCUGAAGAGCUCAGCUGAAGUGGCGCUCAUGAGAGAAGCAGGUCGUAUUACGGCACAGGCUUUCAGGAGGACGAUGGCUCUGUCUCAAGGGGAUGUCGAUGAAGCAGUGCUUUAUGCCAAGUUUGAUUUUGAGAGUCGGAUCCAUGGUGCCAACUUCCUGGCAUAUCCCCCCGUGGUUGCUGGAGGAAAUCGAGCUAACACUCUGCACUACAUAAACAACAACCAGAUUAUCAAGGAUGGUGAAUUGGUGCUGCUUGAUGGUGGUUGUGAAUAUUUUGGUUAUGUUAGUGACAUCACUCGUACAUGGCCAGUGAAUGGAAAAUUCAGCCUUGCACAGGCUGAGGUGUAUGAGGCGGUUCUAGAGGUCCAGCACUGCUGUUUAUCUUUGUGCUCUCCAGGCAUUAGUCUAGACCACAUCUACAGCAACAUGCUGGCACUUCUGGGACGACAGCUAAGGAGGCUGGGCAUCGUCGGGGCCAGCACCAGUGAUUCUGACACAUUAAAGUUUGCACAGCGGUACUGCCCCCACCACGUUGGUCAUUACCUGGGUUUGGAUGUACAUGACACGCCUGAACUAUCCCGUGCACAGCCUCUACAGGCAGGGAUGGUAAUCACCAUAGAACCAGGGUUGUAUGUCUGUACGGAUGAUGACCAGGCUUCAGAACGUUUCUGUGGUCUGGGUAUCAGGAUUGAGGAUGACGUGUUGAUCAGAGACACUGGAGGCCCUUUGAUUCUGUCCUCUGACACACCAAAGUCCAUCGCUGAUGUAGAGCAAGCCUGUGCCCAGAGAUAGGGCAGAGAGAGACAAGUGAGCGUAUGAGUUGCAGCAUCACUGUCCAACAUUUUACUGUGGUUCUCAUCCAACUGUGCAGUGAUGUCUACAGCACAUUUGUGAUUCAGGUGUAUGGAAGGUGGGAGACUUUUAAACUUAGUUUGAAUUCGGGACACCCAUCCUUUAGUAACAUAUUUUGGAAGGUUACAGAUUUUACAGACACUUUUAUCAUCUGACAAAAUGUUGAAAGACACCACCCCAUGUGGUUUCCUGUUUUGAACCAAAAACAUCCAUGCUAUGGUGAUUCUUGAGAUUCUCAAAACUAAUAAUAGACUCUUACCUGUUCACUCACUUCAAUAAUUUCUACAAAAGUGAAAGUCUUUUUGCUGCUUUCCACUUUUGUUGUCCAUUAUAGUCAUCCUCUCAGAUCCCCAGGUAAUUCAGAACAUUUUAGUCAUUAUUUCAAGGUGCGGUAAAUGAUUUUUCUCUACCACUAGAUGUCACACUAGCUCCAAUUUCAGCACCAAAACAAAGUUUCCCUUUCUUCCUCUGCAUGAAGCGGAAGGAACGACAAUUGGAGCCUUAACAAGUCUAACAGCUCUCUCUGUGGGGACAAGCCAAAGGUGUGAGAGGAAGUAAUGGUUUCACAGGGUGGUACUUGCAUGCACAUCCCGAAAUCACAUGCACUACGUGUGUACUUGCGGCUAGACCAAAAAUGUGAACAGGACAGAACAGCUCAGAGCAUAGGGCUUCAUUCUCUGCAUGGAAAUCCAACACACGACUAAAUCUUUUCAUAGAAUAUAGUUGGUGGUUACUAUAUUAAUGUGGAAAAUGUCAUUUAAAGCACCUUUAAAGCUACAGUGUGUUGCAUUUAAUAUUGUCUAGUGGUGAAAGUGCAUAUUGGUUUAUGCUGACACCGGUCAUGUUUUUGUUUCCUUUCGUGUUUUUGCUUCUUUGGCUACGGGGUUCAAUGCUCCCUUGUCUUGUCUUGUGAUACAAAUGAUCAUCUACUUCACAAAAAAGAGGUUCACACAUAUUGUGACAUGCACGAGCAGUCAUUAGACAGUGUAUAGCAGCAACCACUGAUUCCUCCCAUUUUCUUCAAUCUUCUGCAAAAUGUGAAAGUCAGAGUUAGUAUAGCCCUUUUGGGCUGUAUAAACAUGGUGGUACAACAUGGGGACCUCCAUGAGGGGACCCGCUCCCACGUAGUUAUGAAGGGGUCAUUUUGAGCUUAUGAAAACACCUUGAUUGGUUGUUAUAGAUAAUAAUUACACAAUAAUGAAAAGAUGGUUAUGAAUAUUCCACACCCUCAUUCCGACACACUGUGAAUUCUAAUCCCUUCAUACCCACUUUGUCUUUCACACUCUCUUUGAAACAUCACUCUGAUUAUACUUUUGAAAACACCUUCUUUCUCACUUCAUGCAGCAGUCUGACUUCUGCCGGAGAUGCAGAACAAAUGUUGGGUGCACGAUCAUUGUGCUGACGUAACCAGAGGUAUUAAAAUCCACUGGCCUCUUACGCACACACAACUGAAUCCAUGAAGUGUUGAAUGAAGAGAACUGUGUCCAAAACACAUCUACUCUUGAUCAACCUUGGAUGGAAAUAAAUGUAUUGAAAUAUUUUGAAACUACACUAAAAUGUUUGUGUUUUAUGUGGUGGAAAUUCAUUGAGGGGAAAAAUGUGAGCACAAGCUAAAUAGACAUCAACAGAUCAUUUGUUGUUAUUUGUGUAAAGUCUAUUUUAUCUUUAAUGAUUAAUAAACUUUGUUGGAUUGAACCGGUUUACAGUAUGUACGAAUGAUGUGAAGUGAAAAAUUAUGAAAGCAACUUGAAUUUUACAGUAAAUAUCACAAAUAUAAUGGCAAAUAAAUUAUUUCACACAUAG